This 208-nucleotide long non-coding RNA is filed under the name Carica papaya (papaya). RNAcentral's name for it is "long non-coding RNA (CPAP_LNC001059)". The record is from RNAcentral. Lineage: Eukaryota; Viridiplantae; Streptophyta; Magnoliopsida; Brassicales; Caricaceae.
GCCGGUUCCUCCGGUGGCUGGGUCGUCUUCUCCGGUGAGGGUUCUGGCGGCUAGGGUUUUGGGAUUGGGUGUGGAUGCGAUUAUUUAUAACCCUCCCCUUUUAAUCUGAGCCGUCCAUCAUGAUUUAAUCUAGGCCGUCCGAUCGCGAUUAAAUUAAAAAUAAAUUUGGGCCGUCCAUCACAAUGCGAUCUAGGCCAUCCAUAUGUGA